Molecule: long non-coding RNA, 1233 nt
Organism: Amblyraja radiata (thorny skate)
Lineage: Eukaryota; Metazoa; Chordata; Chondrichthyes; Rajiformes; Rajidae
Exons: 4
Source: RefSeq, a predicted model, not a curated record
UGACCUUCCAGGAUGGAAGGGAUCUACAGGAGGCACUGCCACAAAAUAGCAACCAACAUCAUCAUCCAGUAGCCAGCUUCCUCCCAACAACCAUUAAUUCUGACAAAGAAUCCUUGACGGCAAACAUCAAUUUCAUUUCUCUGUCCACCAAUGAAGCGCAUCAGCCCUCUAAGGCACAUUGCUAGGACCAGCAGUGAGGUCCUGUGCACCCAGAGUAAGAAUCCAGGACCGAGGAGCAGUGCAGACUGCAAUUUCAUGAUCUCACAAGUCUGUCAAGGUGAGUUGCUCACAACUAAUUAAACUGUACUCUUGCAUGCACACACUUGCACCUCUCACACACAAACUGCUGCACCAUCUACACACCCACAAAUACCUUUAUCCUUCCUUGCAGCAGACAGCUCAGCACUAUUGACAUUGCAACCCCUCCAUCCCAAAUCGCGAUCCAAGCAUUCAAAAUUCUGAUAAUGAUAAGGUCAUUCCAUGCUAUUCAUCAUUAAGGCCAAGACAGCAAAGAACAGGAGGGAGUCACGGUUAUUCAGCCCAGAAACAGACUUUUGACCCAACAUAUCUAUGUGAGGGAAAUGUGAGGGAACAACCAUCGAGGGAAAUGUAUGGUUUUUGAUAAAGGAAGUUUGCAGAUGACACCAACAUUGAUGGUGUAGCUGUAGCAGACAAUGAAGAAGAUUGUCUAUGGGUACAACGCAAUAUUGAUUAAUUGGAAAGUUGGGCAAAGGAAUGGCAGAUGGAAUUUAACUUGGAAAAGUGCAAAGGGAUGUAUUUUUGGAAGUUAGACUAGGCCACAACUGAAUAGAUGAAGUGGUCUCAUUAAAUGUUGUUGAACAGAAAGAUCUACAAGUACAUACUUCGCUGGAAAUGGCAAUUCGGUAGACAGGGUGGAGAAGAAAGCAUAUGGCAUGCUCGGCACCAAGUACAAGAGUUGGAAGGUCAUGUUGCAGUCAUCUCAGUCACACACUUCUACAUGGUCAACAGAAUCCAGCUCCAAUUGCACAGAGCUGAUUCCAAGGAGAUGAAACCAGACAUAUGUGAUUCAGGGAUUAUUUCAUUGUGCCAGCUCCUGCUCUGGAAAUUGAGUCAUUUUUGUAGAGCAGUUUGAGUGACUCUUAGUCACCAAUCCACAUCCUACUACAGCCUCCCAGGCAGCACAUUCGCCCAUGCUCCCAGCCACCUAUACCACUCUGCACCUUCAUUUAACUCGCGUCAGCAAACUGAACC